This 382-nucleotide long non-coding RNA is filed under the name Homo sapiens (human). RNAcentral describes it as "HSALNT0171332". The record is from RNAcentral. Lineage: Eukaryota; Metazoa; Chordata; Mammalia; Primates; Hominidae.
GACUUGAUGUCUGAUGGGAGAAUGGCAGUGAGGAUAGACAGAGGUAGGAGGUGGAAUUUACAAGACUUGAUGUCUGAUGGGAGAAUGGCAGUGAGGACAGACAGAGGUAGGAGGUGGAAUUUACAAGACUUGAUGUCUGAUGGGAGAAUGGCAGUGAGGAUAGACAGAGGUAGGAGUUGGAAUUUACAAAACUUGAUGUCUGAUGGGAGAAUGGCAGUGAGUACAGACAGAGGUAGGAGGUGGAAUUUACAAGACUUGAUGUCUGAUGGGAGAAUGGCAGUGAGGACAGACAGAGGUAGGAGGUGGAAUUUACAAGACUUGAUGUCUGAUGGGAGAAUGGCAGUGAGGAUAGACAGAGGUAGGAGGUGGAAUUUACAAGACU